GAACACUGGAAAAUUUGAAAAUGUAUGGUUUUACAACUGUAACGUGUAUGCCAAAACUGAAACUAGUAGCAGAAUAAGAUUUGACCUGUUUGACAAUGUAGAUGAAAAAAUGAAAAAGAAAUUGAAAGAGGGAACUUAAUCAAUCUUGUUUUGUCAGUUACAUCAUUUAAUUUAUUUUUGAAUAAUGUCCAGCUUUUUAUACGACCGCAAAAAAAUUUUGUGGUCGUAUAUUGGUAUGACGUUGGCGUCGUCGUCGUCGUCGUCGUCGUCGUCGUCGUCGUCGUCGUCGUCGUCGUCCGGCGUCCGGCGUCGUCGUCCGAAUACAUAUUGGUUUUCGCACUCUAACUUUAGUUUAAGUGAAUGGAUCUUUUUGAAAUUUGACCAUAAGGUUAAAUACCACAAAAGGAAGGUUGGGAUUGAUUUUGGGGGUUAUGGUACCAACAGUUAAGGAAUUAGGGGCCAAAAAGGGGCCAAAAAUGAGCAUUUUCUAGUUUCCAGACAAUAACUGUGGAACGGUGUAUGGAUCUCUCUGAAAUUAUACUACAAGUUUCCAUACCACAAAGGGAUGGUUAGGAUUUGCUUUGGGGGGUUAUGGCUCAAACCGUUUAGGAAUUAGGGGCAAAAAAGGGGGAAAAACAAGGUUGUCCUGGUUAAUGGACAAAUACUUUAGUACAAAACAUAAUUUAAAGCAGUGUAAGGGAGAUAAAUCAAAUACAUCAUUGAAAUUAUCUCCCUUACACUGCUUUUAAAUUAUGUAUUAAGUAAUGGUUAAUGAACAAUAAAGAUAAUCUAAAACAGUGUAAGGGAGGUAAUCCAAAUACAACGUUUUGGUUACUUCCCUUACACUGCUUUUAAAUUAUGUUUAAAGAAAUGCAUAUUUAUAAAGGAAGACCAGUAAAAAUAUCUGCAAAUGUUUUCAUCUUUUUUUUUUUACAAAAAAAUCCAUAUGAAAGAUUUGACACUAUAUUUUUAUUAAUUCUAUUAUAAAAUAGAUUAAGUUAGCACUAUGGUAAAUUUAAAUGGGUAAUUAUGGUUGCCAACUCCAUUGGAAAUUUGAAUUGAGAUUAUGACCAUAUCUUGAGGGAAAGAAUUUUUUUUGGGGAAAAGGGGGGGGGGAUAAAAAGAAAUUGUGGGGGGCCAAUUUUUUCUCAUUUCAGAUUUCAGAAAUUAAAAAGAAUUAUUCUUCAAAUAUUAUUUUUUUUUCAAAUUUCAAAUAUUGAAAAAUUUCAAGAAGUAAUCUUUAAUUGCACAGUAUGGCGCAUUAGAUUUGUAAAAUCUUUGAUCACAUUUAUUUAUUUGUUAUGCCGAAUCUAACAGUGUAUUUAGAUUUUUAAUUUUGGGUCCAGUUUUCAAAUUGGUCUACAUUAAUGUCCAAAGGGUCCAAAAUUAAACUUUGUUUGAUUUUAGCAAAAAUUGAAUAUAUGAGGUUCUUUGAUAUGCUGAAUCUAAACAUGUAUUUAGAUUUUUGAUUUUUGGCCCAGUUUUCAAGUUGGUCCAAAUUGGGGUCCAAAAUUAAACUUUGUUUGAUUUCAACAAAAAUUGAAUAUAUUGGGUUCUUUGAUAUGCUGAAUCUAACCAUGUAUUUAGAUUUUUUAUUUGUGGACCCCGUUAUCUAAUUGGUUCAUAUUGAGGUCAAAAGGGUCCAAAAUUAAACUUUGUUUGAUUUCAUCUAAAAUUGAAUUAUUGGGGUUCUUUGAUAUUCCAAAUCUAACCGUGUAUUUAGGUUUUUUAUUUUGGGUCCUGUUUUUUAAAUUGGUCUACAUUGAGGUCCAAAGGGUCCAAAAUUAAACUUAGUUUGAUUUUAACAAAAAUUGAAUUCUUGGGGUUCUUUGAUAUGCUGAAUCUAAACAUGUGUUUAGAUUUUUGAUUAUGGGCCCAGUUUUCAAGUUGGUCUAAGUUGGGGUCCAAAAUUAAACUUUUUUUGAUUUCAACAAAAAUUGAAUAUAUGGGGUUCUUUGAUAUGCUGAAUCUAACCAUGAAUUUAGAUUUUUUAUUUGUGGGCCCAGCUAUCAAAUUGGUUCAUAUUGAGGUCAAAAGGGUCCAAAAUUAAACUUUGUUUGAUUUCAUCAAAAAUUGAAUUAUCGGGGUUCUUUGAUAUUCCAAAUCUAACCGUGUAUUUAGAUUUUUAAUUUUAAGUCCCGUUUUUUAAAUUGGUCUACAUUAAGGUCCAAAGGGUCCAAAAUUAAACUUAGUUUGAUUUUAGCAAAAAUUGAAUUCUUGGGGUUCUUUGAUAUGCUGAAUCUAAACAUGUGUUUAGAUUUUUGAUUAUGGGCCCAGUUUUCAAGUUUGUCCAAGUUGGGGUCCAAAAUUAAACUUUGUUUGAUUUUAACAAAAAUUGAAUAUAUGGGGUUCUUUGAUAUGCUGAAUCUAACCAUGUAUUUUGAUUUUGGACAUUGGACCAUAAUAGGUAAAUUAAAAAAAUUGAAGUUCUUAGACCACAUUCUUUCUGUGUCAGAAACCUAUGCUGUGUCAAAUAUUUAAUCACAAUCCAAAUUCAGAGCUGUAUCAAGCUUGAAUUUUGUGUCCAUACUUGCCCCAACUGUUCAGGGUUCGACCUCUGCGGUCGUAUCAAGCUGCGCCCAGCGAAGCAUUUUAUUA
This is a long non-coding RNA of Mytilus californianus (California mussel), 2598 nucleotides long. RefSeq lists it as uncharacterized. Lineage: Eukaryota; Metazoa; Mollusca; Bivalvia; Mytilida; Mytilidae. The record is from RefSeq and is a predicted model, not a curated record. The transcript has 3 exons.